UAGGGAAUCUUCGGCAAUGGACGAAAGUCUGACCGAGCAACGCCGCGUGAGUGAAGAAGGUUUUCGGAUCGUAAAACUCUGUUGUUAGAGAAGAACAAGGACGUUAGUAACUGAACGUCCCCUGACGGUAUCUAACCAGAAAGCCACGGCUAACUACGUGCCAGCAGCCGCGGUAAUACGUAGGUGGCAAGCGUUGUCCGGAUUUAUUGGGCGUAAAGCGAGCGCAGGCGGUUUCUUAAGUCAGAUGUGAAAGCCCCCGGCUCAACCGGGGAGGGUCAUUGGAAACUGGGAGACUUGAGUGCAGAAGAGGAGAGUGGAAUUCCAUGUGUAGCGGUGAAAUGCGUAGAUAUAUGGAGGAACACCAGUGGCGAAGGCGGCUCUCUGGUCUGUAACAGACGCUGAGGCUCGAAAGCGUGGGGAGCAAACAGG
Molecule: ribosomal RNA, 429 nt
Filed under: Gemmatimonadota bacterium
Lineage: Bacteria; Pseudomonadati; Gemmatimonadota
Description: Gemmatimonadetes bacterium partial 16S ribosomal RNA
Rfam family: Bacterial small subunit ribosomal RNA
Source: RNAcentral